UACGGAGGGUGCGAGCGUUGUCCGGAAUCACUGGGCGUAAAGGGAGCGUAGGUGGUUCGAUAAGUCAGAUGUGAAAGCCCGGGGCUCAACCCCGGGACUGCAUUUGAAACUAUCGGGCUAGAGUGCAGGAGAGGUAAGUGGAAUUCCUAGUGUAGCGGUGAAAUGCGUAGAUAUUAGGAGGAACACCAGUGGCGAAGGCGGCUUACUGGACUGUAACUGACACUGAGGCUCGAAAGCGUGGGGAGCAAACAGG
This 253-nucleotide ribosomal RNA is filed under the name uncultured bacterium. Its description in RNAcentral is "partial 16S ribosomal RNA". It matches the Rfam family "Bacterial small subunit ribosomal RNA", at positions 524 to 776 of the family's 1533-position model. The record is from RNAcentral.